UCCAGCGGUGCUUGGUGACGUCGAUCCCGAGAUAAAGAAUUACUGCGUGAAGUGAAAUAAUUGGUGAAGUGCAAGCUUUACAGGAACAUCUCCAAUCACAAAAAGAUGAUUCACAUUGGACUUGGGACCAAAAUCUGCUUUCCUGGCUCAUGCUGGUGGAGUAUCCUUUUAAAAUUAUUUAUGCCUGUUUUGACUGUUUUUAUUUUGCUCUGUUUAAUUUCAACUCAUGUAAUACCAUGCAUUAAGUCAAUGAUUGCCAAAAUGGUAUCUACUAGACUAAUGUAUGUGCAUGCCUUGUACCAACAAACUUAUUCUCUCAUUCCCACUGCCCCACAGAUUGACGAGGACACCUCAGCUGUUUGAAGUGUUCAACUGUGUUCAACUGUGUUCAACUGUGCUAUGGUUCCGAAAUGAUGUCUGUGCAGAAAAUCUAAUUGAAGUUGUACAUGACUGAUAAUGAGUUGUUCUAUUUCACAGUUUAAAUUGAUAUGCAAAACAGCAGGGAAUGUUAAGAUGUUAAAUACAUUUAUUCAAUCUUUACAAUAUAUUCAUUGUAUUACGUUUCCAUAUCAAUUUAUACUGUUAUUGAAUGCUGUUAUUAUGCUGUACUAAAA
Cynoglossus semilaevis (tongue sole) is the source of this 614-nucleotide long non-coding RNA. RefSeq lists it as uncharacterized. The record is from RefSeq and is a predicted model, not a curated record. Lineage: Eukaryota; Metazoa; Chordata; Actinopteri; Pleuronectiformes; Cynoglossidae. The transcript is spliced from 2 exons.